CUUUCUCUGUAUUAUCCUAUCUCAUAAUUUUUCAUAGCCCUAAGUAUCUCUUCUCUAAAUUUUCUCUCUUCAAUAAACUUUUCUUUCUGUUAGUAAGCUGCAUCUACUAUGAUUGCCUGUUUCUCUUGCAGUGGAACAGGUGAUACGAACAGAUGCGAAAUUGAAAGGUUCCUCAAUGGACUGGCAUAGUCCCAAUUUUAAUGGAUUUUUGCUAUUUCUCGUAGGAUUCACAAUGUCUAAUCUUUUGUACAGAUUUCGCUCUUCUAUUUUCUGGGUCUCGGUUAUCGUUUUCUAAAAUUAAGAAAUCAUUCGCCAGCGAAGAUUUUUCUUUUUAGUUCUUAUAUUCUUUUCGGCUUCGAUUAUUAUUUCCUAAAAUUGACGGGUUCGUGGUCAAAUUUGCAUCUUUGUUUGGCUUUAAUUAUUUUGUGUUAUUCUUUUUUAUGUUUUUUUUAUCUGGGUGUAUAAAUAUGUAUGUGAUUGCUCGAUGAUGAUUCUUUUGCUUUAACCACACCGAAGAGAUGCUGGAUGGGGUUUUAGGGGUCAUUUCCUUUUAAGAUUUGAUGUGAUCUUAUUGUGCUUGGUUUUGCCUGGUGACUUCGACUUCUAACUUAAGAGGUAUUUGGUUACCUUUUCUUUUAGAGAUCGGGAGAGGGCUUUUUCAAGCACUUCAAGGGACUCAGCUUAAAUUGGAGGGAUCUUUACCUAUCUCAAGUUUUCUCAUGUGGAAAAAACUGGCCUUUCAACUGAGAGCAAUCAACCACUACACCUACUCUUUAUGUCAUUGAAUUUAGUUUUUGAUUCCCUUGUAAUUUUCAGUUGUUUAUUUGUUUCAUGGUGGCUAUUGUUUAUUCAAGCCUUUUACUGUUUAUCCUAUUUGAUUUUGGUCUUCAAAAUUUUUAAUUGAAGAAUUUUGUCCUUUAACUUUAAAAAUUAUAUAAAAUUGGUUAUUUUAUUUUCUUGAUAAUAAAAUAUCAUUCCUAAAUAUUAAGUUUUAAAUUUUAGAAGUAACCAAAUAAUUGCACAUGAUUUUGAAAUUUUAAACUAGAUUUACCCAUUCGAAUGUAAGGAUACAAAUGAAGUCCAGAUAGAAAGUAUUGCAUAUUGUUUCUCUGUAUUUUUGCGUUAGAACUCUUGUAUGUUGAAAUAGUAAGGUGUAUUUCUACAGCGACCCUAAUAUCAGUUAUAGUUUUAUAUUGGUAUUAGUUAACACCAUGAGGCAUUAUAGUGUUAAAAUGUAAAGUAUAUUUAUAUGGUGCUAAAGUUCAAUGGAUUGGAGAGAAUUUAGGGUGUUGGAGAAGGAGUUGGUGCUGCAGACUUGACUGAUGUGAAGAGAAGGGAGAAAAACUUUUCUGCAAGAACAGCAUUGGCUGCAUCUGAUGGAUGGAAGGCAUCCCAAAAUACAAACUCAUGGCGGUUUUUGCAGACCUUUGAGUUUGGCAAGCACAAACCUCCAAUACUCGUGUCUACGUUGCAACAUGACGUGUUUGAAUCCUUAAAACCUGCUAAAUCGUUAAUUAAAAGCAUUUGUUAUGUACAGCCAGAAGAAAAUGCCACAUGAUUUCAUUUUAACUAAGUGGGUUGAAAUAUUUUUUAGUCAUACCAUAGCCAUGUUUUUUUAUUAUAUUAAAUAGAAGAGAUGUCAAAUUAUUACCGUAAGUAGAGGGAUUAUUGAUCAAGUCAAGAACUAACGGAAUCCAUUCAUUGAUUCGCUUUAGACAUUGGCCACGUUUGGAUUUGACCCUCUGUGAUGGAAUACAACCGAGUGGACCUAAGCCAUGGAAAACUAUUUUUCGUGCUCCCAGUUGAUAAAGACUCUGGUAUAAUCAGUUUCUUUAGUUGUUGAUUGAACUAUAUGUAGAUGUAUGAUGAUACUGAUGUGAAGAAGUAUUUCUUACUAGAACAUAGUUUGUUCAGAUAUUGUAUAAAGUUCUGCAUUGAUUUUUACCUGAAGUUGUUGAUCUAAGGUUGAGAUUAAGAGCUCUAUGAACUCUUCAUGAGUGUAUUGUUGGCCAUCUGGCAGAAAGGGUUGCAAGAAAUUGUUGACGUAAUCAUUGCUGCCUGACAAAGAUUGCAGGACAUGGGAAAUCAAAGGAUUUAACAUUCAAAGCAAUAUUAGUAGAACAAGGAGCAGCUGCUAGAGCAAUUGCUGCCAUAGAGAAGAUACAAGCAGCAAAAACCAGCCUUGACAUUGGCAGAUUUGUUUUUUCAACCUUCUACUGCUGAACAUAUAGAAUUGAGUCAUGGUUUUUAUAGCAGUAUUGCAUUCAAGUUCUGCACUGUUGUGUCAAUUCUUCAAGCAUGCGUGUUAGUUGCUUAUUUUCCAAACCACAUUGACAUUGAAACUGAAUGGUUUAUCUCUUCUUACUGUGAUAAAAUCAUAAAACUUAGUGGUUGGAUUCUCUUUAAGAGGAGUUGGCCAACAAAGAACAUUAGAGUCAGCAAUGUUAGCUUUUACUGAUUCACUACUUUAAAUGGCGCACGGGCACACAUUCGUGUUGCAUUUUCUGUUUGGUGUCUCACUCAAUUCUUUUACUUGCUGAAGGUUAAUUGAAGGACAAGCAAAUCCUCUUUGUCAAAG
RNAcentral lists this small RNA (2578 nucleotides) under Vigna angularis var. angularis. RNAcentral's name for it is "Non-protein coding transcript". The record is from RNAcentral. Lineage: Eukaryota; Viridiplantae; Streptophyta; Magnoliopsida; Fabales; Fabaceae.